This 253-nucleotide ribosomal RNA is filed under the name uncultured bacterium. RNAcentral's name for it is "partial 16S ribosomal RNA". It matches the Rfam family "Bacterial small subunit ribosomal RNA", at positions 524 to 776 of the family's 1533-position model. The record is from RNAcentral.
UACAGAGGUCCCGAGCGUUGUUCGGAUUCACUGGGCGUAAAGGGUGCGUAGGCGGAUGUUUAAGUCUGCUGUGAAAGCUCCGAGCUCAACUCGGAAAAUGCAGUGGAUACUAUUCAUCUAGAGGUGUGGAGGGGGGACUGGAAUUCUCGGUGUAGCAGUGAAAUGCGUAGAGAUCGAGAGGAACACCAGUGGCGAAGGCGAGUCCCUGGACACCACCUGACGCUGAGGCACGAAAGCUAGGGGAGCAAACAGG